Molecule: ribosomal RNA, 460 nt
Filed under: uncultured bacterium
Lineage: Bacteria
Description: partial 16S ribosomal RNA
Rfam family: Bacterial small subunit ribosomal RNA
Source: RNAcentral
CCUACGGGUGGCAGCAGUGAGGAAUAUUGGUCAAUGGGCGCGAGCCUGAACCAGCCAAGUAGCGUGAAGGAUGACUGCCCUAUGGGUUGUAAACUUCUUUUAUAAAGGAAUAAAGUGAGGCACGUGUGCCUUUUUGUAUGUACUUUAUGAAUAAGGAUCGGCUAACUCCGUGCCAGCAGCCGCGGUAAUACGGCGGAUCCGAGCGUUAUCCGGAUUUAUUGGGUUUAAAGGGAGCGUAGAUGGGUUGUUAAGUCAGUUGUGAAAGGUUGCGGCUAAACCGUAAUAUUGCAAUUGAUACUGUCAGUCUUGAGUACAGUUGAGGUAGGCGGAAUUCGUGGUGUAGCGGUGAAAUGCUUAGAUAUCACGAAGAACCCCGAUUGCGAAGGCAGCUUACUAAACUGUGACUGACAUUGAUGCUCGAAAGUGUGGGUAUCAAACAGGAGUAGAUACCCUAGUAGUC